UUUGGAGUUGUGUUGAUUGGAUUGAAUGACACCAGAGUAGUAAGCAGAUUUUGCUAAGGGGAGACUGUCCUUGUAUAGCAUUACAUGAUUAUUGUACAUUUCUUUGUGUAUAGUGAAUCCAGUUUUGUUAUAG
Melanotaenia boesemani (Boeseman's rainbowfish) is the source of this 133-nucleotide long non-coding RNA. RefSeq lists it as uncharacterized. The transcript has 3 exons. Lineage: Eukaryota; Metazoa; Chordata; Actinopteri; Atheriniformes; Melanotaeniidae. The record is from RefSeq and is a predicted model, not a curated record.